Molecule: RNA transcript, 1649 nt
Organism: Propithecus coquereli (Coquerel's sifaka)
Lineage: Eukaryota; Metazoa; Chordata; Mammalia; Primates; Indriidae
Gene name: hyaluronidase PH-20-like
Exons: 2
Source: RefSeq, a predicted model, not a curated record
UUAUAGAUGAUGCAACAUGCAACACAUUCCUGAAACAUGAAAUAAGAAGAAUAAUAUUUAAAUGUAACAUAAUCAUUAUGCUUGUUUAUUCAUCAAAGUAUCUUCAUUCCACACCCUUUUGUCUGUUCUCAUAUCCAGCAUCAAAUAUUGGGUACAGUGUGUAGGAAGAAAUAAGUGCUUUUCAUAGUCGUUACUCUUUGCAAUGGGAGUGCUAAGGUUCAAGAACAUCUUUUUUGGAAGCUUUCUUGAGUCAAGUGGAGUAUCCCAGACAGUGUUCACCUUCCUUCUAAUUCCAUGUUGCUUGACUCUGGAUUUCAGAGCACCCCCUCUUAUCCCAAAUAUGCCUUUCCUCUGGGCCUGGAAUGCCCCAACUGAACUUUGUAUUGGAAGGUUUGAUGAGCCACUAGAUCUGAGCCUCUUCUCGUUCGUAGGAAGCCCCCGAAGAGAUGUCACAGGGCAAGAUGUUACAAUAUUUUAUGUUGAUAGACUUGGCUACUAUCCUUAUAUAGAUACAACAGGCAAAAAUGUGAAUGGAGGAAUUCCUCAGAACGGGUCCUUAAAACACCAUUUGGAUAAAGCUGAGAAAGACAUUCUUUAUUACAUGCCAAUAGACAAUGUGGGCUUGGCUGUCAUUGAUUGGGAAGAAUGGAGGCCCACUUGGGCAAGAAACUGGAAACCUAAAGAUAUUUACAGGAAUCAGUCUAUUAAAUUGGUUCAGCAACAAAAUGUACACCUUAGAGUCACAGAGGCUGCCAAGAUAGCCAAGGCUGAUUUUGAAAAUGCAGCAAAGAGUUUCAUGCGAGAGACUUUAAAAUUGGGGAAAUUACUUCGGCCAAAUCACUUAUGGGGUUAUUAUCUUUUUCCUGAUUGUUACAACCAUAAUUAUAGACAACCUGGUUUCAAUGGAAGUUGCUUUGAUACAGAAAAGAGAAUAAAUGAUGACCUCAACUGGUUGUGGAAGGAAAGCACUGCUCUUUUCCCAUCCAUUUAUUUAAACACGGACAUGUCUCCUCAACAAGCUGCGCUAUUUGUGCGAAAUCGAGUUAAUGAGGCCAUUAGGAUUUCUAAAGUACCUGAUGCUGAAAGGCCACUUCCAGUUUUUGUAUAUUCCCACCUAGUUUUUACUGAUCUAAUUUUCAAAUUCCUUUCUGAAAAAUCUUGCUUGACCCUGGACAAAUAUGUGAAGACCAGUGAAUCCUUACUUAAUCAAUGUCACCCUAGCAGCCAAAAUGUGCAGCCAAGUGCUUUGCCAGGAGCAAGGUGUGUGUACAAGGAAAAACUGGAAUUCAAGUGACUAUCUUCACCUGAACCCAGAGAAUUUUGCUAUUCAAAUUGGGAAAAGUGGAAAGUACAUGGUACGUGGAAAACCCACACUUGAAGACCUGAAGCAACUUUCUGAAAAAUUUAAUUGCAGCUGUUAUCCCUCCUUGAGUUGUAAAGAGAGAGAUGAUAUAAAAGACAUUAAUGCUAUUGAUGUGUGUGUUGCUGAGGAUGUUUGUAUAGAUACCUCUGUAAACUUAGAACCCAGCUAUCAACCUUCUUGGAAGAAAGUUGGAACUUCCCAGGGUGUCUCAUCAUCUACAUCACCUGCCACAAUGUUCUUUGUUAAUAUUUUAUUUUUCACCAUGAGUUCUUCUGUAGUGAAGUAA